Oncorhynchus keta (chum salmon) is the source of this 1515-nucleotide long non-coding RNA. RefSeq lists it as uncharacterized. The transcript has 3 exons. NCBI's taxonomy places the organism in Eukaryota, Metazoa, Chordata, Actinopteri, Salmoniformes, Salmonidae. The record is from RefSeq and is a predicted model, not a curated record.
UUUAAUCAGCAGUAAAUCUCUCAAUCCCGGUUUACAGAGAGAGGCACAUCUGGACAUGUUAUGAAACCACAUUUCGUAAGUCAACACACACACAAACAUCGCAGGGUUCAGGGUAGUGCUUGCUGGACGCCAGGUCAGCUGUACGUUAUCUGAUUCCACACAGGGUCCCUCAGGCCUAGCAGAAGCUGUGUGACAGGGUAAGGUUCAGGGUAGUGCUUGCUGGACGCCAGGUCAGCUGUACGUUAUCUGAUUCCACACAGGGUCCCUCAGGCCUAGCAGAAGCUGUGUGACAGGGUAAGGUUCAGGGUAGUGCUUGCUGGACGCCAGGUCAGCUGUACGUUAUCUGAUUCCACACAGGGUCCCCAGGCCUAGCAGAAGCUGUGUGACAGGGUAAGGUUCAGGGUAGUGCUUGCUGGACGCCAGGUCAGCUGUACGUUAUCUGAUUCCACACAGGGUCCCUCAGGCCUAGCAGAAGCUGUGUGACAGGGUAAGGUUCAGGGUAGUGCUUGCUGGACGCCAGGUCAGCUGUACGUUAUCUGAUUCCACACAGGGUCCCUCAGGCCUAGCAGAAGCUGUGUGACAGGGUAAGGUUCAGGGUAGUGCUUGCUGGACGCCAGGUCAGCUGUACGUUAUCUGAUUCCACACAGGGUCCCCAGGCCUAGCAGAAGCUGUGUGACAGGGUAAGGUUCAGGGUAGUGCUUGCUGGACGCCAGGUCAGCUGUACGUUAUCUGAUUCCACACAGGGUCCCUCAGGCCUAGCAGAAGCUGUGUGACAGGGUAAGGUUCAGGGUAGUGCUUGCUGGACGCCAGGUCAGCUGUACGUUAUCUGAUUCCACACAGGGUCCCCAGGCCUAGCAGAAGCUGUGUGACAGGGUAAGGUUCAGGGUAGUGCUUGUUGGACGCCAGGUCAGCUGUACGUUAUCUGAUUCCACACAGGGUCCUCAGGCCUAGCAGAAGCUGUGUGACAGGGUAAGGUUCAGGGUAGUGCUUGCUGGACGCCAGGUCAGCUGUACGUUAUCUGAUUCCACACAGGGUCCCCAGGCCUAGCAGAAGCUGUGUGACAGGGUAAGGUUCAGGGUAGUGCUUGCUGGACGCCAGGUCAGCUGUACGUUAUCUGAUUCCACACAGGGUCCCCAGGCCUAGCAGAAGCUGUGUGACAGGGUAAGGUUCAGGGUAGUGCUUGCUGGACGCCAGGUCAGCUGUACGUUAUCUGAUUCCACACAGGGUCCCUCAGGCCUAGCAGAAGCUGUGUGACAGGGUAAGGUUCAGGGUAGUGCUUGCUGGACACCAGGUCAGCUGUACGUUAUCUGAUUCCACACAGGGUCCCUCAGGCCUAGCAGAAGCUGUGUGACAGGGUAAGGUUCAGGGUAGUGCUUGCUGGACGCCAGGUCAGCUGUACGUUAUCUGAUUCCACACAGGGUCCCCAGGCCUAGCAGAAGCUGUGUGACAGGGUAAGGUUCAGGGUAGUGCUUGCUGGACGCCAGGUCAGCUGUACGUUAUCUGAUUCCACACAGG